AUUAGCUAGUUGGUAGGGUAACGGCUUACCAAGGCGACGAUGUCUAGGGNNNUUGAGAGGAGAAUCCCCCACACUGGUACUGAGACACGGACCAGACUCCUACGGGAGGCAGCAGUAAGGAAUAUUGGUCAAUGGGCGGAAGCCUGAACCAGCCAUGCCGCGUGCAGGNNNNCUGCCCUNNNGGUUGUAAACUGCUUUUGUCCAGGAAUAAACCUAAAUACGUGUAUUUAGCUGAAUGUACUGGAAGAAUAAGGAUCGGCUAACUCCGUGCCAGCAGCCGCGGUAAUACGGAGGAUCCGAGCGUUAUCCGGAUUUAUUGGGUUUAAAGGGUGCGUAGGCGGCCUAUUAAGUCAGGGGUGAAAUACGGUGGCUCAACCAUCGCAGUGCCUUUGAUACUGAUGGGCUUGAAUCCAUUUGAAGUGGGCGGAAUAAGACAAGUAGCGGUGAAAUGCAUAGAUAUGUCUUAGAACUCCGAUUGCGAAGGCAGCUCACUAAGCUGGUAUUGACGCUGAUGCACGAAAGCGUGGGGAUCGAACAGGAUUAGAUACCCUGGUAGUCCACGCCCUAAACGAUGAUAACUCGAUGUUGGCGAUAGACAGCCAGCGUCCAAGCGAAAGCGUUAAGUUAUCCACCUGGGGAGUACGCCCGCAAGGGUGAAACUCAAAGGAAUUGACGGGGGCCCGCACAAGCGGAGGAGCAUGUGGUUUAAUUCGAUGAUACGCGAGGAACCUUACCCGGGCUUGAAAGUUAGUGAAGAAUGCAGAGACGCAUUCGUCCUUCGGGACACGAAACUAGGUGCUGCAUGGCUGUCGUCAGCUCGUGCCGUGAGGUGUUGGGUUAAGUCCCGCAACGAGCGCAACCCCUAUGUUUAGUUGCCAGCAUGUAAUGGUGGGGACUCUAAACAGACUGCCUGUGCAAACAGUGAGGAAGGUGGGGACGACGUCAAGUCAUCAUGGCCCUUACGUCCGGGGCUACACACGUGCUACAAUGGAUGGUACAGCGGGCAGCUACAUAGCAAUAUGAUGCUAAUCUCUAAAAGCCAUUCACAGUUCGGAUUGGGGUCUGCAACUCGACCCCAUGAAG
RNAcentral lists this ribosomal RNA (1083 nucleotides) under Sphingobacterium sp. soB23. RNAcentral describes it as "bacterial SSU rRNA". It matches the Rfam family "Bacterial small subunit ribosomal RNA", at positions 240 to 1325 of the family's 1533-position model. The record is from RNAcentral. Lineage: Bacteria; Pseudomonadati; Bacteroidota; Sphingobacteriia; Sphingobacteriales; Sphingobacteriaceae.